RNAcentral lists this transfer RNA (77 nucleotides) under Candidatus Gracilibacteria bacterium HOT-871. Its description in RNAcentral is "tRNA-His". It matches the Rfam family "tRNA". From Rfam's summary of the family: Transfer RNA (tRNA) molecules are approximately 80 nucleotides in length. Their secondary structure includes four short double-helical elements and three loops (D, anti-codon, and T loops). RNAcentral also lists the same sequence under 2 other names. Lineage: Bacteria; Candidatus Altimarinota. The record is from RNAcentral.
GAGUCUGUAGUUCAGUUGGUUAGAAUGCCAGAUUGUGACUCUGGAGGUCGAGGGUUCGAACCCCUUCAGACUCCCCA